AGGCCAUGCUUGUUUGCUUGGAAUUGGGAAGAAAAAGGACAAAGUGUAACCAACACAUCCCAUAAGCCAUGCUGUUACCACAAGACAGCAGGAACUUGAUCUUUUUCUGUCAAAACAAUUCUAAGAGCAGCCAUCACACAAAAAACAGAAAUUGACUCAUGCUCAAAAAACCACUUUGGCCAUUGCAAACAAUACAAAGAAACAGUAAAUGAUACAAUCAUUUUUCUGUCAUGAAAAAGCCAAUAGCAACAACUAACCACCUCCAACUGCAGCAAAAGACCAAC
This 284-nucleotide long non-coding RNA is filed under the name Lathyrus oleraceus (garden pea). RNAcentral describes it as "Pisum sativum (pea) long non-coding RNA (PSAT_LNC020997)". The record is from RNAcentral. Lineage: Eukaryota; Viridiplantae; Streptophyta; Magnoliopsida; Fabales; Fabaceae.